Molecule: ribosomal RNA, 497 nt
Filed under: uncultured bacterium
Lineage: Bacteria
Description: partial 16S ribosomal RNA
Rfam family: Bacterial small subunit ribosomal RNA
Source: RNAcentral
GAUGAACGCUGGCGGCGUGCCUAAUACAUGCAAGUCGAGCGAACAGAUAAGGAGCUUGCUCCUUUGACGUUAGCGGCGGACGGGUGAGUAACACGUGGGUAACCUACCUAUAAGACUGGAAUAACUCCGGGAAACCGGGGCUAAUGCCGGAUAACAUUUAGAACCGCAUGGUUCUAAAGUGAAAGAUGGUUUUGCUAUCACUUAUAGAUGGACCCGCGCCGUAUUAGCUAGUUGGUAAGGUAACGGCUUACCAAGGCAACGAUACGUAGCCGACCUGAGAGGGUGAUCGGCCACACUGGAACUGAGACACGGUCCAGACGCCUACGGGAGGCAGCAGUAGGGAAUCUUACGCAAUGGGCGAAAGCCUGACGGAGCAACGCCGCGUGAGUGAUGAAGGUCUUCGGAUCGUAAAACUCUGUUAUUAGGGAAGAACAAAUGUGUAAGUAACUGUGCACGUCUUGACGGUACCUAAUCAGAAAGCCACGGCUAACUACGUG